UGGGAUGUAGCUCAGUGGUAGAGCAUUGCCUGAAACAUGCAAAGCCCUGGAUUCAAUCCCCAGCACUGCAG
RNAcentral lists this transfer RNA (71 nucleotides) under Fukomys damarensis (Damara mole-rat). It matches the Rfam family "tRNA". Rfam says of the family: Transfer RNA (tRNA) molecules are approximately 80 nucleotides in length. Their secondary structure includes four short double-helical elements and three loops (D, anti-codon, and T loops). Further hydrogen bonds mediate the characteristic L-shaped molecular structure. tRNAs have two regions of fundamental functional importance: the anti-codon, which is responsible for specific mRNA codon recognition, and the 3' end, to which the tRNAs corresponding amino acid is attached (by aminoacyl-tRNA synthetases). tRNAs cope with the degeneracy of the genetic code in two manners: having more than one tRNA (with a specific anti-codon) for a particular amino acid; and 'wobble' base-pairing, i.e. permitting non-standard base-pairing at the 3rd anti-codon position. The record is from Rfam by way of RNAcentral. Lineage: Eukaryota; Metazoa; Chordata; Mammalia; Rodentia; Bathyergidae.